GGGGAGAUAACUCAGUCGGUAGAGUGCUUGCCUUCCAAGCACAAGGCCCUGGGUUCGAUUCCCAGCACCGCCCCCACCCCCCCA
Non-coding RNA from Sciurus carolinensis (gray squirrel), 84 nucleotides. Lineage: Eukaryota; Metazoa; Chordata; Mammalia; Rodentia; Sciuridae. The record is from the annotation of a RefSeq genome assembly.